Molecule: long non-coding RNA, 327 nt
Organism: Nanorana parkeri
Lineage: Eukaryota; Metazoa; Chordata; Amphibia; Anura; Dicroglossidae
Exons: 2
Source: RefSeq, a predicted model, not a curated record
CAACACUGGCUUAUUUUGCAAGUACAGAGGAAGACGUGAGAAGAGACAAGGACUAGACAUUGGGACAUUGUUGGACUUGGUUUAUGGACCUGUUUGGAUUCUCCUCCUUCCCCGCUUAUGGAUUUAUAGCCCAGCCGGCUGCUGCUUUGUGGCUCUCUUCGGUGACGGGUAUUCUUGGGUGGAUAAUACGGAUUACGUUGUUAUUGCUUAAGAAUACGCGUAGUUGAGGAGAGUAUGUACAACAAGCACGCUACAGCGCCCCAAAAGUCGCGCCGACCAACCGCUGUCUUGGCCAAGGUAGCCUCUUUCAUCUCUUUUUCCGUGCAU